This 325-nucleotide long non-coding RNA is filed under the name Cavia porcellus (domestic guinea pig). Its description in RNAcentral is "lncRNA (ENSCPOG00000031833.1)". Lineage: Eukaryota; Metazoa; Chordata; Mammalia; Rodentia; Caviidae. The record is from RNAcentral.
GCAGAGUCACGCCUUAGUGGGGUGGCUCAUGGCUCAUGGUCGCUGCUUAGGACCCAUGCAGGGACACGGAGCCUGCCUGGUGCGCGCCCUGCCAGCGGAGGCUGACACGCAGGAAGCUGAUACCAUUACCUCAGCACUGUGUAAUCUGCCAGUGAAUAUGCAUGAGCACCUAAUUUGCAAGGAUUCAGAGAAAAGUGGGAAUGGAAACAAGAGCUACAGGGAGAGGGAAAGGAGAUGAACAACAUUGAAACAAAAAAAAUAGAAAAAGAGCUUUUGCAAAUGGGAAAGGACUGAGAGAUGGAACGAAGGAGCAGGUAAGUGGAAG